GCGGGUAUAGUUUAGUGGUAAAACGCCAUCCUUCCAAGUUGGAUACGACAGUUCGAUUCUGUCUACCCGCACCA
This 74-nucleotide transfer RNA is filed under the name Opitutaceae bacterium. Its description in RNAcentral is "tRNA-Gly". It matches the Rfam family "tRNA". From Rfam's summary of the family: Transfer RNA (tRNA) molecules are approximately 80 nucleotides in length. Their secondary structure includes four short double-helical elements and three loops (D, anti-codon, and T loops). Further hydrogen bonds mediate the characteristic L-shaped molecular structure. tRNAs have two regions of fundamental functional importance: the anti-codon, which is responsible for specific mRNA codon recognition, and the 3' end, to which the tRNAs corresponding amino acid is attached (by aminoacyl-tRNA synthetases). tRNAs cope with the degeneracy of the genetic code in two manners: having more than one tRNA (with a specific anti-codon) for a particular amino acid; and 'wobble' base-pairing, i.e. permitting non-standard base-pairing at the 3rd anti-codon position. Lineage: Bacteria; Pseudomonadati; Verrucomicrobiota; Opitutia; Opitutales; Opitutaceae. RNAcentral also lists the same sequence under 1 other name. The record is from RNAcentral.